This 497-nucleotide long non-coding RNA is filed under the name Dromaius novaehollandiae (emu). RNAcentral's name for it is "lncRNA (ENSDNVG00000006932.1)". Lineage: Eukaryota; Metazoa; Chordata; Aves; Casuariiformes; Dromaiidae. The record is from RNAcentral.
AAGCUGACUCAUCUAGAAUAAUUCCUUUUCAAUUUCUUUCAAGAUAAGCACCACCUUCAUCUUUUUGUGCCCUUCUGGAAUAAUAUCCAAUGUCCCUGUGUCAACGAAACCUAUUCAGUUUCUCUACUAACUUUGACAACUUUGCUGCUGGUACUUUGAAGAUCAUCCGGUGACUUUUGCAGAGUAUCUGAACAGUGGGAUACAGGAACCCUUGGAGCGGUGGUAAUAACCUUUGUGAAGAUAGCCCUGCACCAUCCUUGUUCCCUAAUAUAGCAGCACCAAUCAGAGCAUCAAAUCCCUCCCAGGCUCUUCACACUGAACUGGCAGCAGAGCCUGCCUCUUUGGAKGGCACCCCCGUGAGCAGUUUGAGAGCAGCUGGUGCACUCCAGAAGCAAAUUCUGCCUUUGUUUCCAUCCAAAAGGAAUCUAAUUCAUGUGCCCCAGAAGAUGAACCAGAGCAUGACCAUCGGGAGAUUCGCUUUGAAAGGAUUUGUUUGA